GAGUUUGAUCCUGGCUCAGGACGAACGCUGGCGGCGUGCCUAACACAUGCAAGUCGAACGGGGUCCAACCAGUCGCAAGACUGGGGAAGACCUAGUGGCGAACGGGGUGAGUAACACGUGAGGAACCUGCCCCGAAGACCGGGAUAACCCUCCGAAAGGAGAGCUAAUACCGGAUACCCCAACCAGGUCGCAUGUUCUGGUUCGGAAAUGGAUUCCGCUUCGGGAGGGCCUCGCGGCCUAUCAGCUUGUUGGUGGGGUAACGGCCCACCAAGGCUUCGACGGGUAGCUGGUCUGAGAGGACGAUCAGCCACACUGGGACUGAGACACGGCCCAGACUCCUACGGGAGGCAGCAGUGGGGAAUCUUGCACAAUGGGCGAAAGCCUGAUGCAGCAACGCCGCGUGGGGAUGAAGGCCCUCGGGUUGUAAACCCCUUUCAGCAGGGACGAAGCUACUCGGGUUAAUAGCCCAGAGGGUGACGGUACUUCCAGAAGAAGCCCCGGCUAACUACGUGCCAGCAGCCGCCGUAAG
RNAcentral lists this ribosomal RNA (529 nucleotides) under uncultured bacterium. RNAcentral describes it as "bacterial SSU rRNA". It matches the Rfam family "Bacterial small subunit ribosomal RNA", at positions 9 to 524 of the family's 1533-position model. The record is from RNAcentral.